Molecule: ribosomal RNA, 737 nt
Filed under: Theba solimae
Lineage: Eukaryota; Metazoa; Mollusca; Gastropoda; Stylommatophora; Helicidae
Description: partial 16S ribosomal RNA
Source: RNAcentral
UGUAUCUUUGGGGUGAAUACAAUUACGUAGUAUAGUAAUUGUUAAAUAUAUUUUUAGGGGUGAUAGGCUUAUCAAAUUUGCGGAUAACUUGAUACACAAUAAAAUUAUUAAGUAAUAAGUUAUAUUUUGAAAGUUAAGCUUCAGAAUUAUAAUUAAAUUUGAUUAAUGUUUACAUUAUAGUUUAAUAGCUAACUUAUAAGUAAUCUAAUUAUUUUUAUCAUCAUUUUGUUUUACAUAUUGUGUUAUAUUUAUUAAGAAUAGUAUUAAUAAUGUUAGUAUAAGUAAUGUUAUUAAGUAAGUAAAAUGAACUCGGCAACAUAUUUUUCAACUGUUUAUCAAAAACAUAACUGUAUGAAUAUUAUAUUCAGCUUUUCCUGCUCAAUGAUAUUAAAUAGCCGCAGUACCCUGACUGUGCAAAGGUAGCAUAAUCAUUUGGCUCAUAAUUGGAGUCUAGUAUGAACGGAUCUUUGGAAAAUAACUUUAUUAUAUUUAUUUAUUUGAAAUUAGUUUGUAAGUGAAAAUACUUAUAUAUAUAUAAAGGACGAGAAGACCCUAGAAAUUUUUUCAUUUUGUUGGGGCGACAGAAUUACAUAUAACUAAUUUGAUUUAACUUGACGUUAUUACAGUCCGACUAAAUUACUCUAGGGAUAACAGCAUAAUUUUAGUAGUUUGUGACCUCGAUGUUGGACUAGGAUAUUAAUGGUUUAGAAGACUUUUAAGACUGCUCUGUUCGAGCU